Molecule: ribosomal RNA, 329 nt
Filed under: uncultured eukaryote
Lineage: Eukaryota
Description: partial 18S ribosomal RNA
Rfam family: Eukaryotic small subunit ribosomal RNA
Source: RNAcentral
CCCUUAGAUGUUCUGGGCCGCACGCGCGCUACACUGAUGCAUUCAACGAGUCUAAAACCUGCUCUGAUAGGGGUGGGUAAUCUUUUGAAUGUGCAUCGUGAUUGGGAUAGAUGAUUGCAAUUUUUCAUCUUCAACGAGGAAUGCCUAGUAAACGCAAGUCAUCAGCUUGCAUUGAUUACGUCCCUGCCCUUUGUACACACCUCCCGUCGCUCCUACCGAUUGAAUGAUCCGAUGAAUAUCAUGGAUUGAGGAUGCAAGUAGGUUCGCCUAUCUUCAUCUUCGAGAAGUGAAGUAAAUCUUAUCAUUUAGAGGAAGGAGAAGUCGUAACA